RNAcentral lists this ribosomal RNA (482 nucleotides) under uncultured bacterium. Its description in RNAcentral is "partial 16S ribosomal RNA". It matches the Rfam family "Bacterial small subunit ribosomal RNA", at positions 28 to 507 of the family's 1533-position model. The record is from RNAcentral.
GACGAACGCUGGCGGCAUGCCUAACACAUGCAAGUCGAACGGAGCUUUUUUGCAUGAUUUCUUCGGAAUGAAUUUGGUUUAGUUUUGUGCCGGACGGGUGGGUAACGCGUGAGUAACCUGCCUCCAAUACGGGAAUAACAUUCUAAAAAGAAUACUAAUACCGCAUGACAUAUCGGGACCACAUGGAUUUAAUUUCAAAGAUUGUAUCCCUCGAAGAUGGCCUCGCGUCCGAUUAGUUAGUUGGUGAGGUAACGGGUCACCAAGACCGCGAUCGGUAGCCGGACUGGGAGGGUGGACGGCCACAUUGGGACUGGGACACGGCCCAGAAUACUUCGGGAGGGAGCAGGUGGGGAUAUUGCGAAAUGGGGGCAAACCUGACUCAGCAAAGCCGCGGUAAGGAUGAAAGUUUUCGGAGUUUAAACGUCUUUUAUCAAGGGAGAAAAAUGACGGUACCUAAUGAAUAAGCUCCGGCUAACUACGUG